This 399-nucleotide ribosomal RNA is filed under the name uncultured beta proteobacterium. Its description in RNAcentral is "bacterial SSU rRNA". It matches the Rfam family "Bacterial small subunit ribosomal RNA", at positions 9 to 410 of the family's 1533-position model. The record is from RNAcentral. Lineage: Bacteria; Pseudomonadati; Pseudomonadota; Betaproteobacteria.
GAGUUUGAUCAUGGCUCAGAUUGAACGCUGGCGGCAUGCCUUACACAUGCAAGUCGAGCGGCAGCGCGGGGGCAACCCUGGCGGCGAGCGGCGAACGGGUGAGUAAUACAUCGGAACGUGUCCUGUCGUGGGGGAUAACCAGUCGAAAGAUUGGCUAAUACCGCAUGACCUCGUAAGAGAAAAGCGGGGGACCGUAAGGCCUCGCGCGACUGGAGCGGCCGAUGUCGGAUUAGCUAGUUGGCGGGGUAAAAGCCCACCAAGGCGACGAUCCGUAGCUGGUUUGAGAGAACGACCAGCCACACUGGGACUGAGACACGGCCCAGACUCCUACGGGAGGCAGCAGUGGGGAAUUUUGGACAAUGGGGGCAACCCUGAUCCAGCCAUGCCGCGUGUGUGAAG